This 6979-nucleotide long non-coding RNA is filed under the name Malus domestica (apple). RNAcentral describes it as "long non-coding RNA (MDOM_LNC012823)". Lineage: Eukaryota; Viridiplantae; Streptophyta; Magnoliopsida; Rosales; Rosaceae. The record is from RNAcentral.
AGAAAUUGAAAAUGCAUGAAAUUAUGUUUAAAAUGAAAUGCAUAUGAGUUAUGUGAAAAAAAACGGGAAGUGAAAUACCAUGCAUAGAAUUGAUAUGAAAAGUAUAUAGAAAUGUGAGUUGAAAUGCCAUACAUGAAUUAAUAUAUGAUGCAUAUGUAUGAAUUGGUGCGGUGGACGCACAGGUAAGAAUUGAUUUAUGAUGCAUAUGUAUGAAAUGGUGCGGUGGACGCACAGAUGAGUAUUUAAUUACUGUUAUGAUGAUGAUGAUAUAUAUUGAGCUCAAAUCCUGCACCAUGGUUUAGUGCUUAUAGUAUUCACCGCAUCGCACGCUCGCCUUGGAUCCAAGUAGAUGCUAGUCGUACAGUCCACGCGGAGUGGGUACGACAGACCAGUCGCGAGAGUGUUAGUGAGAUUCCGACUGGUGGGUGACCUUAGAUUAUGUGCACAGAUGAUUUAUGAGAAGCACUAGAGCGUAACUUGUGUGCAGAAGGCCGGACGGGUCACAGAGGUGACUCCGGUAGAGUGAUAAUGAUAGAUUUUGAGCUCUAGGUUCAACCGUAUAGGGCUAUUAGAGGGCCUACGGUUGAUUACUUUCUUGCACCUGAUAUGAUUAUGUUGAUGCAUUCAUACCUUAUUACUGUUGAGAUGAUGUGGCAUGGCAUAAUUAAUAUGAGAAAUGUUGAGAUGACAUGGCAUGGCAUGAUUGAUAAAGAGAUAAUGUUUGAGAUAGUAAAAAUGAAGUUUUGAGAAUAUAUAUGUAUAUUUAUAUUUUACAUUUCUGGGAAAGUAUACAGGUUUUACGGAGAGGGGUUACAACGUUUUGAGAAAUGUUUGGAUUUGGAAAAGAAUUGUUUUACUGACCCACUCAAUUUUGGUUUUGCGCCCCUCCAGGUUCAGGAAUCACAAAGGUGUGGUGACUACGAGGAAUUCGACGGUGUUCUGACAGAUUGGACAAAAUUAGGACUCACCUUCGGGUGUAUCAAUUUAAAUUGUAUCUUAAAGCUUCCGUACUGUGCAAAUGGUUACGUCACUCUCACGUGACGGCCAGCAUGCCCUCCUUCGGGACGGGGUGUGUCAGUUGGUAUCAGAGCAUGGUUGCAAUCUUGGACAUCUUGAGAAGUUUCUAGUGAAUUCUGUCAGAACUACACCGCCUCGUAGCAAACCACGUAGUUAGAGGAAUUUAGUCUCCCUGAUUUAGCGGUUUAGAGGAAACUAUUAUUAUGGUGAUUCAGUAUAUUAUCAAAAUGGACAUUUUAAGACGGGUUAUGAGUUGAAUUUGAAUCACCUUAUGGAAUGAUGAACCUGAGGGAGCGAAGUAACGGUUUAACCAUUUGGAAAAGAUGUUUCAGAUUAUGCAAGUUAAAGGAAAUUUCCUUCUGACAAGGGGUCGAGACGACUACCUGGUUUUGGGUAUGAAUUUGUAUCCUGGUGGAAACAUGAUUGUUAAUUGUUGUCACCGGAGGAAACAGCUGAUUGAGAAUUAUUUAAGGACUUGUUUAAGGAAAAGUUUAUCCCUCCGGCAUUUAUCGAUGGUAGUAAGCAAGAGUUUGCAAAUGUGAAUCAAGGAAGUUGACGAUAAAUGAAUAUUAUAGAAAGUUUUCAGACUUGCCUCGUUCCAUCCAGAUAUUUGAGACAAGGUGUCUCGAGUAAAGGAAAUGUACCUUGUGCAGCAGGUACAAAAUUAACACUUUGGGAAGUGUGAAAUUAAUAAAUGUGUUUAUGUGAACAGAGGGAACGCAGAAUUGUGAAUUGUCCCUAGAAUCAGUUGUACUCAACAAUUUUCCAUGAUAUCAUAGUGUCGAUUCAGCAGAGUUAUGGACUUAGUAGUUUGGUCGGAUUGACCGUGAGUACAGAGAGAUUUGAUGAGUUAUAUGUUCAGCCGUACAGACCAUGAGAAAUGGAUUCGACUGACACAUGAGAAAUUGGUGAGUUAUAGGUUCGGCCGUACCGACCACGCGGAGUGGAUCCGGCCGACGUAUUAUUGAGAUAAGAGUUGAAUCAGCCGUAUUGAUCAUUCUAGUUGACUUCGGCUGAUAUAUUUCUUAUUAUGUAUGUUAUUACCUAGAGAGUAGUAAAUAAAUGUAGUUGAGACGAGUGUAUGUAUUUUGCAUUGAGUGACAAAAUAGUAAUGUUAUAUCUUUGAGAGUGGUUGCCUACUUAUCGAGACAACGAUGAUUUAUCAGUAUUGCGGGCUGCAGACCGUAAUAUUAAUAACUCAUUCGUGGAUUCGUUAAGCAAGCAACCCGGUAGAUUAUUUUAUGUUAGUAUUGUACUUAUUUAGAAUGCUUAAUAAUAAUAGAAUAUAUAUUGUAUCAGUUAAUUUUGUUCCAUUAGAUUGGUUGGUUAUAAUUGUGACAAGACGGAAUGUUACGGGAAACCAGUAUUUUCCAUCGAUCUGGAUGACCAAAGAUUACUUUUGUAAGUAUGCAAAGUGGAUUGAGUCAGGCCGUUAUUUAUACUGUAAGAGCAAAGAGAUUGUUUUCGAAAGGCUGUCAAAAAUACUUAGCUCAUGUGGUGCUAAAUGAUGUUGUUUGGAGUAGUGUGAAUAAUGUCGAAAGGGUUAGAUUUUCUUGAUGUCUUCCCUGAAAGUAUACCUGGAUUGCCUUCAGGCAGAGAUAUGAGGUUCACUAUUGAUUUGUUGCCAGGUAUAAAUUUAUGUUAAAGAUUGGUUCAUGAUGAGUUAAGGGAAUUGGAAAUUCAGUUGAAAGAAUUGGUUGAUAAAAAUUUUAUUCAACCUAGUACAACGCUUUGGGGGAGCCCCAGUUCGUUGGUAAGGAAGAAAAUGGGCUUUAAGACUAUCCAUUGAUUAUAGACAAUGGAAUCGGGUAACGAUUGGGACCGUUAUCCAUCGUGAUGUACUGAUGUUUAUUUAACCAGCUCAGAAGUAAUUGCGAAGAUUCAAAGAUUGAAUUGAGAUCUGGUUACUACCAAUUGAAUAUUAUAAGUGACGUUGAUCAUAAGAUGGUUUUCUGGACUUGUUAUAGUCUUUAUGAAGUUUGGUGAUGCUAUAUGGAUACUCAUGCUGUUUUAUGAGUUGAUGGAUGAAGUAUUCCAAUAAUGCUUUGAUAAUUGAUAUCAUUUUCGUUGAAGAUAUUCUGGCAUAUUCUGAGCAAGAGCAGAGCAUGUAAACGUAUUAAGUCGGUGGAACAAAGAUUGGAAGAAUGUCGAUUGUAUGCUAAGUUUAGCAAAUGCGAAAGUUAGAUGAAUCAGGUGGCAUUCUGAGAUUGGUUAUAUCUGCUUAAGGUAUUCAAAUGAAUUCUUAAAAGGCAGCAGAAUUGAGAAAUUGGAACAACCACAAGCCAUAAUUGAGAUUCGGAAAUUCUUAACUUAUCAGGCUAUUUUGGAUGGUUGUGAAAGAAUUUUUAGUCAUUGCUUUAUCAUUGACAAGACUGUUGAGAAAGGAGGUUAUGUAUGAGUGGGAAGGAAAUUGUGAGCAAAGGAUUCAACAACUGGAGUAUUUCCUCACUCAUGCACGUAUUUUAGUAAUCCUAGAAGAUAGUGGUAAUUAUUGGUUUAUGGUGAUGGUACAUUAAAUAUUCUUGGAGAUGUAUUGAUGCAAAUGUUAGGGUGAUUGAAUAUGUUUCACGACAAAUGGAACCUAAUGAGAUGAAUUACCCUACUGGUGACUUGGAAGUCACGAUUAUCAUCCUUGCUGUGAAGUUGUGGAGACAUUAUAUGUUGAUAAGAAUGCAAGAUUUUACAAAUCAAAAGAGUCUCCAAUAUUUGUUUAUUCGGAAGGAUUUUGAUAUGAGGCAACAAAGGUGGAUUGAAUUACUUAGUGAUUAUGAUGGUACGAUCAGGGUGAUCGUGAAUUGUUGUAGCUGAAGCACUUGGUGAGAAGACUACGGUAUGAUUAAUGUCUGGCACGUUUGCCAAGAGUAUCAUCUUGUGGAUUGAAAACCAACGGAAGAAAAAUUAAGAAUGGAAGAUCGAGAAGAAGUUAUACUUGUUCAAUUUCAAGUUAGGCCUGUUUGGUAAGGUCGUACUCGAAACUUAAAUGUUUGACGAGGAAUUUAAGAAUUAACCAAGGCAAGGAAAGAAAGGAAAAAGAAUAAGUACAUGAUUCGUGAAUCAAAUGGUAUGUGGAUACAAGAAAGUAUGAAGUAUGUACCGAAUGCUGAGGAUUUAAAGCAAGCAAUUUUGGACGAAGUACACUGUACAACUUCUGCAAUAUUCCAAAAGUAAUGAGAUCUAGUAUACCAUUUGACGUUUUUAUUGGUCAACAGAUUGAAGUAGAAAGAAGUAAACCUUUGGAUUGAGACAGCUAUUUUCUGUUUCGAAACGGAAAUGGAAAGAUAUUACAUUGGACUAUGUGUACAAGUUUCCUUGUAUACAAGAUGGUUACGAUCGAAUGUGAGGUGUUGAUUGGUCAAUGUACCAAGUUAGUACAUUUACUCCAGGGUUGAGUAACGGUACUUAUUUGUUUUAUAGAAAGAAGAAUUGGUUUACGGAACUGCUAAGUUUCUUAAGUAUGUUGGUUGCGCAGUUUCCGAAGUGAAGCCAUAAGGUUCAUGAAGUGUGUCAUGUGUGUGUUUUGUUGACUUGUGAAUGGAAUAUUUCUGGGUAGAGAAAGAUUCGAUCAAGAAAGAGUUUUAGUAGACCCUGAGACUAUGGAUGAGUCUCCUCAAAGUAUUCAGGUGAUUAAGUUUAACCUGAAGGUAGCCAGGAAUGACAAAAGAGAUCAACAGAUGGAUAUGCCACUAAUCGAGUAUAUAAGGUAAAUGGUUUUAUUUUCGAAGUGUUCACCAUAGAAAAGUAUAAUUUGGAUUGGAAAAAGAAGGUCCUGAGAAUUAAGACAGAGUAAGUGGUAAAAGUUUUGUGAAGAAAAUCAUUCAGUAGAAAAUUGUUGGAGAAAGAGAAUCGGAUAAGAGAGAUUUACCGAGGUUGGUAUGAGUAGAUGUUUGGAUUGGUUGUUGGAAUUUCGGGGACGAAAUUCUAUAAGGAGGGAAGAUUGUCACAGCCCGUUCCAAAUUAUUAUAUUCGUGGCUGUGAAUGGACGAAAUUGCCCUUAAGAAAUACUAAGUUUGUGAAGCUCAGGUUGCUAAUUAUCUAGGUUCCGAAGUUUUGAAAAUAAAAUGGAAUUUAAUAAGGAUGGAACUUAGAUUUUUAGGUUAAAAUGUUAAAGUUUGGUGUUUGGAGAUGGGAAUAAGGACCACGUGGGAUCCCCACAUCCCUCAAAACCCUCCUCAUUUCCCGUUCACUGUCUUUCUCUCUCCUCCUUCACGAUUUCUCACUCUCUCUGUCUCUCUCCUUCGAACUCACACGGACCACCACCAAAACCACCCUAAAUCUAUACCAAUGUCAAGUUUGAGACCACAAUUGGAAUCCUGAGGACUUCACGAUCACGUUGGUAUCCAUUUCAGGUAAGUUUUACUUCGGAAAACCUAGAUUCUAAACUCCCCAUGAAAGUGUACUGUUCAUGAGCUUUGAAUUGGUUGAUUUUUAGGACAAUCCAAGCUCAUAGUGAGCUUAGUGAGGUCCCAAGGAAGCUCGGAGUGCUUCGUUGGAAGUUUUUGGACGUAAGAACACGGAGAUCGAUAAGUUCAAAGUUUGGCCGGAGCUUUCGAGGCAUUUUCCGGCGAAUCCCCGGCGAGUUAGGCGUCGAGGUAGGUAUCAAUCUCUUCGUCUCGUCAAGUACUACAACUUUCCUUUUUGUUUCACUCAAUUUCGUUGAGUAUUGAAGAAGUUAUACUCAUUUGAAAAAUACCCAGUUUCCGGCGACCUCCGAGGCUUUCGAGGCAGUUUCCGGCCAAACUACGGCGAACUAGGUGUUGGGAAAGGUACCAUUCUCUUUGUCUCUUCAAGGGCUACAACUUUCGUUUUUGAAUCACUUGAUUUCGUUGAGAAAUGACAAAGUUAUGGCAAUUUGAAAAACUGCCCAGAAAACGGCCGCCGGAAAAACCAGUCCGGCGACCCAAGGAAGAAGAAGGUGCUACAGUAAAAAUAAAAAAUAAAAAUAAAAUUAUUUUAAAAAUAUGUCGACGUCCGUGACGUCGAGUAGAUCACUGUGGUAUAUUCAUAUACCUAAAUUGAACACCGUAUGAGAAAGUUAUUGAAGAUUGUUGGUUAGGUGUUCAAAUAACGUUUUAUAGUUUUCACAUUUAGGUGAAAAUGUGAAUUGAUGAUCCGACCGUUGGAUCGUCACCAAACUUUGAUACGUUGUAAUACGUAAUAUUUGAGGAUUAUUGGAACUUACGGAUUGGGAAUCCGAGUUACGGAUCUUCCGGAAUUGGAAUUGUAAGUCCAUAAUAUAAAAUGUUAACCGUCACUUAGUUUUGGAAAUUGACGGAGAUCCGACCGUUGGAUGGUAAUGAAAUUUUAGGAUGUUGUCCUAGAGGUAUAAUGUGGACCUCUGGAAGUUAUGGAUUUAAAAUCUGAGGGGUGGAUCUUCCGGAUCAAUCUACGUAGUGACGUAUUUUAUAUAAGUUAUAUAUUCUAUCGAUAUGAAUUCUGAGGUUGGAAUUGAUUAUUGUUUUAGGCGCCGAUCGUCAUGACGCCUUGGCGUAUUGUGCUAGGGAGUUGUAGGGCGAACUCCAGGUGAGUGGGCAGUUUUGUUUUCCGUAUAUAUAUAUAUACUUAACGUUUUCCCAGAAAUUGAAAAUGCAUGAAAUUAUGUUUAAAAUGAAAUGCAUAUGAGUUAUGUGGAAAAACGGGAAGUGAAAUACCAUGCAUAGAAUUGAUAUGAAAAGUAUAUAGAAAUGUGAGUUGAAAUGCCAUACAUGAAUUAAUAUAUGAUGCAUAUGUAUGAAUUGGUGCGGUGGACGCACAGGUAAGAAUUGAUUUAUGAUGCAUAUGUAUGAAAUGGUGCGGUGGACGCACAGAUGAGUAUUUAAUUACUGUUAUGAUGAUGAUGAUAUAUAUUGAGCUCAAAUCCUGCACCAUGGUUUAGUGCUUAUAGUAUUCACCGCAUCGCACGCUCGCCUUGGAUCCAAGUAGAUGCUAGUCGUACAGUCCACGCGGAGUGGGUACGACAGACCAG